CCUACGGGAGGCUGCAGUGAGGAAUAUUGGUCAAUGGGCGCGAGCCUGAACCAGCCAAGUAGCGUGAAGGAUGACUGCCUUACGGGUUGUAAACUUUUUUUAUAAGGGAAUAAAGUGUGCCAUGUCCUUCUUUUUGUAUGUACUUUAUGACUAAGGAUCGGCUAACUCCGUGCCAGCAGCCGCGGUAAUACGGAGGUUCCGAGCGUUUUCCGGAUUUGUUGGGUUUAAAGGGAGCGUAGUUGGCUUGUUAAGUCAGUUGUGAAAGUUUGGGGAUCAACCGGAAAAUUGCAAUUGAUACUGGCAGACUUGAGUACAGGUGAGGUAGGCGGAAUUCGUGGUGUAGCGGUGAAAUGCGUAGAUAUAACGAAGAACACCAGUUGCGAAGGCAGCUUACUAAACUGCCACUGACAGUGAUGCGCGAAAGUGUGGGUAUCAAACAGGAUUAGAUACCCGUGUAGUC
Molecule: ribosomal RNA, 460 nt
Filed under: uncultured bacterium
Lineage: Bacteria
Description: partial 16S ribosomal RNA
Rfam family: Bacterial small subunit ribosomal RNA
Source: RNAcentral